This is a long non-coding RNA of Quercus robur (English oak), 352 nucleotides long. RefSeq lists it as uncharacterized. The record is from RefSeq and is a predicted model, not a curated record. The transcript is spliced from 3 exons. NCBI's taxonomy places the organism in Eukaryota, Viridiplantae, Streptophyta, Magnoliopsida, Fagales, Fagaceae.
UAGAGAAAACUCUUAUUUAGAUUUGGCUUCUUGUGCAAAAGGACUUGAGGAUCAUGGGCUGAAUCAUUGUUAACUACUCACUUAUUGUGAUAAGUUUGGAAUUUAUAUUUUUGGAAAGUUAUUUUGUUCUAUAGCUAUGGAUAAGAGUUGGAUGGACAUUAGAGAUAGGACAUCUGUGGAAUAUAGAAAUGGAGUUGCACAAUUCUUGAAUUUUGCAUCUCAACAUAAACAACGAGAUGGUACGUUUGUUUGUCCAUGUCGAAAAUGGGCACAUUCAACAAUGUUGGCUAUAGAUGUUGUACGAAUUCAUCUAGUAUCACAUGGGAUUUGUAGGGGUUAUCAACGUUGGAUU